UAACCGAGAACAUGAACUUCCGGUAGUGAUAAAAACAGGUAUUUUCAUCGGCAUCAGGCUGAUGGAAAAUUGAGGUGUUUCCAUGAAGCUGGCUUCCUAUUGGACGGAACCAGCUGUCAAUAAAGUAGAAACGUGUCUCAGGUGAAGAUGCUCUCCUCUGAUUGGCUGACUCUGAUAAAAGUUCUCUAAAGUUGUUUUAUCAGACUGAAUAAAGACGCUGAUUGGUUUGUUUUCUUCCUGGGUGUUUACAGUUUCCAGAAAUACCGAACAUCAUUGGUCAAACCUCUUGUUGAUAACUUAAAAUUGACGGAAAAUUUGUUGUUUUGAACUUUUUGUCCCUGCUGUGAAGGAAACAAGGGACCUAAUCAACUUUAUUUCAGGUACAUGCCCAAAGCCAAAUGUCAGAGCACUUAACAGAUCAAAAAACAUUGUUCUGGUAGAGUGUAAGGCUGAUCGAGCUUUUCCAGAACCUGAGAUAGAGCUGCAAAACAGCAACAACGAAACUAUUCCUGAAAACAAGACAGAGUACUUUGACAAUGGAACCAUUAUCCUCACUGCUGAAGUAACUAAAGAAGAUUUCUACACUUGUGUUGUGAGGCAGCAACCACCGAUCUGCCAUGAAAUUCGUUCAGAUCCAAACUUGUUGGGAGUUCCUGGGGCUUCAGGAGUUUUACAGUUGUCCUCUGGACUGCUGCUGCUGCCUUUAUUCGGACUGUUGAAGGAGUUGUUCUCAGUGUGGCCUUAGCUGGGUGUUUGAGGUUCUUCUCUGCUCACCUGUAGUUUAGUCCAACAGUUAGGUCAAGUCAAGCUGAUCGUGUGUAUGAUUGGUUGAUUAAAGUGUUCAAUAUUCAGUAAUUAUCCUGUAAAGAAAAUUAGGGGUGGAGAACCCUACUGUUGAGAUAAUCAGAAUGCAAAUUAAACUUGUGAUCAGUUGAUGAGUUUUAUUAGAUUACCUUUGAAAUUGUUCAUAAAAAAGUAUUUUCUGUGAGUUUGUUUGUUGACAACAUUGAUUUUCAUUUAAUUUUUUUUGUAUUGAUUGCUUA
This is a long non-coding RNA of Austrofundulus limnaeus, 1043 nucleotides long. RefSeq lists it as uncharacterized. The record is from RefSeq and is a predicted model, not a curated record. Lineage: Eukaryota; Metazoa; Chordata; Actinopteri; Cyprinodontiformes; Rivulidae. The transcript has 4 exons.